UGCCAGGGUCGAUGUGAGUUCUCUCCUU
This 28-nucleotide non-coding RNA is filed under the name Macaca fascicularis (crab-eating macaque). Lineage: Eukaryota; Metazoa; Chordata; Mammalia; Primates; Cercopithecidae. The record is from RNAcentral. RNAcentral also lists the same sequence under 1 other name.